GCCGGAGUGGCGGAAUGGCAGACGCGCUGGACUCAAAAUCCAGUCUUGGCAACAAGGUGCCGGUUCAAGUCCGGCCUCCGGUA
This 83-nucleotide transfer RNA is filed under the name Pirellulaceae bacterium. RNAcentral's name for it is "tRNA-Leu". It matches the Rfam family "tRNA". From Rfam's summary of the family: Transfer RNA (tRNA) molecules are approximately 80 nucleotides in length. Their secondary structure includes four short double-helical elements and three loops (D, anti-codon, and T loops). The record is from RNAcentral. Lineage: Bacteria; Pseudomonadati; Planctomycetota; Planctomycetia; Pirellulales; Pirellulaceae.